Molecule: ribosomal RNA, 1291 nt
Filed under: uncultured prokaryote
Description: partial 16S ribosomal RNA
Rfam family: Bacterial small subunit ribosomal RNA
Source: RNAcentral
CGAAGGCCCUAGCUUGCUAGGUGUCCUUAGUGGCGGACGGGUGAGUAACGCGUGGGAACCUGCCUUUGAGUGGGGAACAACAGUUGGAAACGACUGCUAAUACCGCAUACGCCCUUUGGGGGAAAGGCUUCGGCCGCUCUUAGAUGGUCCCGCGUCUGAUUAGCUAGUUGGUAAGGUAACGGCUUACCAAGGCGACGAUCAGUAGCUGGUUUGAGAGGAUGAUCAGCCACACUGGGACUGAGACACGGCCCAGACUCCUACGGGAGGCAGCAGUGGGGAAUAUUGGACAAUGGGGGAAACCCUGAUCCAGCAAUGCCGCGUGAGUGAAGAAGGCCUUAGGGUUGUAAAACUCUUUCACUGAUGAAGAUGAUGACGGUAAUCAGAGAAGAAGCUCCGGCUAACUCCGUGCCAGCAGCCGCGGUAAUACGGAGGGAGCUAGCGUUGUUCGGAUUUACUGGGCGUAAAGCGCGCGUAGGCGGCGUAUCAAGUUGGGGGUGAAAGGCCUGGGCUCAACCCAGGAACUGCCUUCAAUACUGAUAUGCUAGAGUCCGGGAGAGGGUAGUGGAAUUCCAAGUGUAGAGGUGAAAUUCGUAGAUAUUUGGAAGAACACCGGUGGCGAAGGCGGCUACCUGGCCCGGUACUGACGCUGAGGUGCGAAAGCGUGGGGAGCGAACAGGAUUAGAUACCCUGGUAGUCCACGCCGUAAACGAUGAGUGCUAGAUGUCGGGCAGCAUGCUGUUCGGUGUCGAAGCUAACGCGUUAAGCAUCCCGCCUGGGGAGUACGGUCGCAAGAUUAAAACUCAAAGGAAUUGACGGGGGCCCGCACAAGCGGUGGAGCAUGUGGUUUAAUUCGACGCAACGCGCAGAACCUUACCAGCCCUUGACAUACCGGUCGCGAUUAGUGGAGACACUUUUCUUCAGUUCGGCUGGACCGGAUACAGGUGCUGCAUGGCUGUCGUCAGCUCGUGUCGUGAGAUGUUGGGUUAAGUCCCGCAACGAGCGCAACCCCCGCCUUUAGUUGCCAUCAUUAAGUUGGGGGUACUCUAGGGGGACUGCCGGUGACAAGCCGGAGGAAGGUGGGGAUGACGUCAAGUCCUCAUGGCCCUUACGGGCUGGGCUACACACGUGCUACAAUGGCGAUGACAAUGGGUCGCGACCUCGCGAGGGGAAGCUAAUCUCAAAAAAUCGUCUCAGUUCGGAUUGUUCUCUGCAACUCGAGAGCAUGAAGUCGGAAUCGCUAGUAAUCGCGUAUCAGCAUGACGCGGUGAAUACGUUCCCGGGCCUUGUACAC